UGGCCUGAAACUGACUCUGAGGUACGAAAGCCAGGGGAGCAAAUGGGAUUAGAUACCCCAGUAGUCCUGGCCGUAAACGAUGGAUACUAGGUGUCGCGGGUAUCGACCCCUGCGUUGCUGCAGCUAACGCAAUAAGUAUCCCGCCUGGGGAGUACGCACGCAAGUGUGAAACUCAAAGGAAUUGACGGGGACCCGCACAAGCGGUGGAACAUGUGGUUUAAUUCGAAGCAACGCGAAGAACCUUACCAGGGCUUGACAUCCUGAGAAUCCUGCAGAGAUGCAGGAGUGCCUUCGGGAACUCAGAGACAGCUGGUGCACGGUUGUCGUCAGCUCGUGUCGUGAGAUGUUGGGUUAAGUCCCGCAACGAGCGCAACCCACGUUGUUAGUUGCCUGCAAGAACCUGUUCUUGUAGUGCUCUCUAGCGAGACUGCCGGUGAUAAACCGGCGCCAAGGUGUGGACGACGUCAAAUCAUCAUGCCCCUUAUGUCAUGGGCUACACACGUGUUACAAUGGGUAGGACAGCGAGCAGCCAACCAGCGAUGGUGAGCAAAUCUCUUAAACCUACUCUCAGUUCGGAUCGCAGUCUGCAACCCGACUGCGUGAAGUCGGAAUCGCUAGUAACCGUAGAUCAGCAUCCUGCGCUGAAUACGUUCCCGGGUCUUGUACACACUGCCCGUCACACCAUGGAAGCUGACCACGCCCGAAGUCG
RNAcentral lists this ribosomal RNA (709 nucleotides) under uncultured organism. RNAcentral's name for it is "bacterial SSU rRNA". It matches the Rfam family "Bacterial small subunit ribosomal RNA", at positions 730 to 1429 of the family's 1533-position model. The record is from RNAcentral.